CAGUCGCCACGGGAAUACAGAGGGUGCAAGCGUUAUUCGGAAUUACUGGGCUUAAAGCGCGUGUAGGCGGGUCGGCACGUCGGUCGCUGAAAUCCCCCGGCUCAACCGGGGAAGUGGCGCCGAUACGGCCGGCCUGGAGGGGGGUAGGGGGGUCUGGAACUUCCGGUGGAGCGGUGAAAUGCGUUGAGAUCGGAAGGAACGCCCGUGGCGAAAGCGAGACCCUGGACCCUUACUGACGCUGAGACGCGAAAGCCAGGGGAGCGAACGGGAUUAGAUACCCCUGUAGUCCCUGUCUCUUAUA
RNAcentral lists this ribosomal RNA (301 nucleotides) under uncultured bacterium. RNAcentral describes it as "partial 16S ribosomal RNA". It matches the Rfam family "Bacterial small subunit ribosomal RNA", at positions 509 to 807 of the family's 1533-position model. The record is from RNAcentral.